This 253-nucleotide ribosomal RNA is filed under the name uncultured bacterium. RNAcentral describes it as "partial 16S ribosomal RNA". It matches the Rfam family "Bacterial small subunit ribosomal RNA", at positions 524 to 776 of the family's 1533-position model. The record is from RNAcentral.
AACGUAGGAGGCAAGCGUUAUCCGGAUUUACUGGGCGUAAAGCGUGCGCAGGCGGUUUUGUAAGCCAGAUGUGAAAUCCCCGGGCUUAACCUGGGAAUGGCAUUUGGGACUGCAAGGCUUGAGUUUGGCAGAGGAGACUGGAAUUCCUGGUGUAGCAGUGAAAUGCGUAGAUAUCAGGAGGAAUACCGAUGGCGAAGGCAGGUCUCUGGGCUGAAACUGACGCUCAUGCACGAAAGCGUGGGGAGCAAACAGG